UAACCAUUAUGGAGAGAUAAUGCUGAACGCGCAGAAGUCAGCCGAGGUCAUAGUAGCC
Lactonifactor longoviformis DSM 17459 is the source of this 58-nucleotide non-coding RNA. Lineage: Bacteria; Bacillati; Bacillota; Clostridia; Eubacteriales; Clostridiaceae. The record is from Rfam.